AAUGAGACUUCAAGGAGAAUCCAAGAUGUUUCAAGGCAGUCUAGGGAUGAUAAAUCAAAUUGGUUAUGUUGUACCCACUAGCAUUAAUUUAUAAUAUAUAGCAUGCCAUUGAUAUGAUCCUGAGGUCAUAGUGGAUAGAGUUGAUUAUCAUCAAUAUUUAUCAUGUCUUUAAUCUCCAGCCAGCAGCCCUAUUUUUUUCUGAAAGUUAAAUUCUUCAACUAAAGAUUCCUUUAUAGAGGGCUUUUCACUUGUGGUUGGAGAGGGAACAGGUUGACACAGGUUCUAAUAGCUGGGUACAGCAAGGUUUUACAAAGCAGAUUAAGUGGUUUUAACUUUUAUUUAUCAUAUGCACUGUGAUGCAUAGACAAUACCACCAAAAAUAAAAACAAAAAUUCGCUCUAUUUAUGAAAAAAGGACAUUUCCUAAAAUCCCAACAUAAAGUAUUGUCAUAAAUUAUGAUAAAUAUAUGUAAUGAGAUGUUAUGCAGCAGUUUUAGAAAGAUCAUAAAAAACAUGAGGAAACCCACACAUAUUAGUAUAAUAUUAAGCCAGAGAAAAACCUGUCAAGUGUUAUAUAUUAUGCUAUGCUAACAGAAAAAAAUUGAAUAGACACUAGAAUUUAUUUAUUUAUUUUAGACACUAGAAUUUAAUGUCAAACUUUUGUCAAUGCAUUAUCUCUAGAGAAUGGGAUUAUUACUUAUGUUUCCUUUUAUGUUUUUCUAUAUUUUAUAAAUUUUCUCAUGUUUUACUUUUUUAACACCAAAAAACCCCAAAGUUUGAUAAAAAUAAAGUUCAAAAAUUUAAGAUCUGGAUCUGGGAAUACUGAAUUUCCCAGGUGCCAUUGGCAUAGUUUUAGAUCAUGUACAAGAAGGGUAAGACAGCAGGAGUCUGCAUUCAGGAUGUGGAACAGCCUUUAUAUCAUAAAUUUUGCAAUAUUCCAAGAGGGCUGCCCUUUUUAUUCCCUAUAUAUAGUCAGAUUGAAUCUGUAUAUGGUUAGACAAUUUGCUUAGCUUUUAAAUAAUCAAAUCACUUAUUUUUCAUAAUACUAAAUAUACUAAAUACUAAACUGAAUAGUUUGUUUUUAUUUAAUUAAAUUACAUUUUACACUGGAUAUUUAGACUUACAAGCCAUAUCUUGAAGGAUUUCACUGAAUGUCAGGUCAACACUCCCCCUACAUUUCACAGAUGAGAAAUCUGAGGAUCAAGGAAGUUAGUCAGCUGACUCUCAGGCAAAAGUCUGAUUAGUGAGAGAAGGAAGACUAGACUCCAGCCAUCCUGAAUUGGCAGCUGACAGGAUCUAUAGAGUAAAAGAUGACAGAUGAAAAAUGAUUAAUAUAAUUUAAAAAUUAGUUUCUCUGUAUAUUGAAGAUUGUUUGAAAUAAUUUGCCAUUUUCUGAUGUUUAAAGCAAAUGCCUACAAAAGAGGUGUGUAUUUUUGGCCAGAGAAAAAGCUAAGAAGGAAAAGACUCAGCAACUAUGAAGAGACAUGUGUAGGAAAUAAAAAUGUUCACAAGCAUUUAUUAUUCAAAGUACCCCUGAUAAAUUGGGUUUUGUGGUCCACAGGAUCUAAAGUUCAUUGAGCCUCUAUAAUAUGCAGGCUUUCUGUAGGGCUCCUUUCCCUACACCAUCUCUUGGAACCUCACAAGCAUGCUAUAUUUUAAAAAAAAAAAAGUGUUAUUUCCAUCCAUGCUUUGGAACUGGGGAAAAUUAUUAGGCUCAGAGAGGUUAUAAGGAUUUUUCAAGGUCACUCAGCUAAUAUCUAGCCAACCCAGAUUUCCCAUGUAGACCAUGUAGACUUGGAAGUCUACCAUGCUUCUGAACAGAGAGAACAAGAGGCCCCAUUGGCUAAGCUUGUGGCUUCCAAUAACUACAACCUUUGCAUAUGGCAUAUUUAGCCACCUGCCCCAACUUGUAGCUGCUUAGGUGGAUCAUGGUCAAAAUCCAUUUUUCUUUGAUGUUGGGAAUAAAGAAUGCUCUGUCUUGAAAUAAGUAAGGAUGAAAGAUAUUCCCUGUCUGAUAUAGUGAGUCUAUAUGUUUAAAUUACCUCAUGACCUACUAUUUUUGCAAAUUUCUAGAAACUGCUCCUCCCUCAGAAGAUGCCAAUAGUAGUAUUUGGUCUUAAGAGUACUCUAAUUGUUUCACAUGUUCCUUCCUUGUCAAAUCAUAGUGAGAUAUAUAUAAUUUUCUUAUUGUUUGAGGCUGACCUCAACAUAAAUCAAGGCUUAUUGAGAAGGGGUUAGAUGGAUGAUAGCUUUGGAGAAUUAAAAUUGUUUCUGUGUAAAGAGCCAAGUAUCACCUCUUCUCAUUUAGCAAGAACCACAUCAAACAUUGCCCUCUUCUUUUCUCCAUCUUCCUCUUU
Molecule: long non-coding RNA, 2356 nt
Filed under: Canis lupus familiaris (dog)
Lineage: Eukaryota; Metazoa; Chordata; Mammalia; Carnivora; Canidae
Description: lncRNA (ENSCAFG00000050099.1)
Source: RNAcentral